UCCAAGUGUCAGAGGAAGAAGCGUCUGGGGAGAUCAAGUGACUUGCUCAGGCAGCUGGGAAGUGGCAGAGAAAGGAUUAGAACUCAGGACCGGCUCUGGGUUUCCAACAUUGUAUUACCUCUGGGCCAGAGGCACAGUGGUUGGAACUCAUGGUUUGCCAAAGAAAAGAGGCCUUGGUGAAAACUCCUUACUCUUGGUUGGAACCCUGAAGGGCUGUACCCUAGAGGUAAGGGUGAAAUGGAAGUAGACAAGCUCUGGCAGAGACUACCUCCU
RNAcentral lists this long non-coding RNA (273 nucleotides) under Papio anubis (olive baboon). RNAcentral describes it as "lncRNA (ENSPANG00000041777.1)". Lineage: Eukaryota; Metazoa; Chordata; Mammalia; Primates; Cercopithecidae. The record is from RNAcentral.